AAUAAAGAGGAGGGAUUUGACUGAUUGCAACCUCUGUUUUAGCCCAAGGGUAUAAAACGAAAAAAAUGCUAAAGCAGUUGAU
Molecule: regulatory RNA element, 82 nt
Organism: Maribacter sp.
Lineage: Bacteria; Pseudomonadati; Bacteroidota; Flavobacteriia; Flavobacteriales; Flavobacteriaceae
Source: Rfam